This 414-nucleotide ribosomal RNA is filed under the name uncultured microorganism. Its description in RNAcentral is "bacterial SSU rRNA". It matches the Rfam family "Archaeal small subunit ribosomal RNA", at positions 459 to 872 of the family's 1478-position model. The record is from RNAcentral.
CAGCAGCCGCGGUAAUACCGGCGGCCCGAGUGGCGGUCACCAUUAUUGGGCUUAAAGCGUCCGUAGCCGGGUUGGGAAGUCCUCCGGGAAAUCUGGCCGCUUAACGGUCAGAAUGCCGGAGGAUACUCCCAGCCUAGGGAGCGGGAGAGGCCGAGGGUAUUCCCGGAGUAGGGGGGAAAUCCUAUAAUCCCGGGAGGACCACCUGUGGCGAAGGCGCUCGGCUGGAACGCGUCCGACGGUGAGGGACGAAGGCCAGGGGAGCAAACCGGAUUAGAUACCCGGGUAGUCCUGGCUGUAAACGAUGCGGACUUUGUGUCGGACAAGCUAUGAGCUUGUCCGGUGCCGGAGGGAAACCGUUAAGUCCGCCGCCUGGGGAGUACGGCCGCAAGGCUGAAACUUAAAGGAAUUGGCGGG